RNAcentral lists this ribosomal RNA (250 nucleotides) under uncultured bacterium. Its description in RNAcentral is "partial 16S ribosomal RNA". It matches the Rfam family "Bacterial small subunit ribosomal RNA", at positions 525 to 775 of the family's 1533-position model. The record is from RNAcentral.
ACGUAGGGGGCAAGCGUUAUCCGGAAUUAUUGGGCGUAAAGAGUGCGUAGGUGGUUUUCUAAGCGUGAGGUUUAAGGCAGCGGCUUAACUGCUGUUCGCCUUGCGAACUGGGAGACUUGAGUGCAGGAGGGGAAAGCGGAAUUCCUAGUGUAGCGGUGAAAUGCGUAGAUAUUAGGAGGAACACCAGCGGCGAAGGCGGCUUUCUGGACUGCAACUGACACUGAGGCACGAAAGCGUGGGGAGCAAACAG